GCGCCAAAUCACAACAAAAGUUACCUCAAGGCGCUUCAUAGAUACAGAGAAAAACCCAACAAUCUUGUGACCCCCUAUGAGCAAGCACUUUGGCAACAGUGGGAAGGAAAAACUCCCUUUUAACAGGAAGAAACCUCCGACAGAACCACGCUCAGGUACGGGCAGCCAUCUGCUGCGACCGCUUGGCGUGAGCUAACAGAGGCUUUGACGAGAGAGACCUAAUAUUUAAUAAUCCAUAUUUCACUGUUUUAUUCUUCGGUUCAGAUGUGGAUUCUGUAUUGUUCUUGCUUUGUUACUAUUGAUGUUUUGUUUGUUUAGCAUAAUCUCUUUUGUUAUAUUUUAGCUUUAACAGGGAACAUGCCUCUCUGGAGCUUCUCUCCUGAUGCUACCCUGCCAAAGACCCUUAUCCAUAGAGACUAUGUCAGCUCCCAAACAGACAGCAACAAACCAAAUCUAGCAAUAAACAACUUAAACAUCAAUAAUAACAAAGCAAGAACAAUACAGAAUCCACAUCUGAACCGAAGAAUAAAACAGUGAAAUGUGGAUUAUUAAAUAUUAGGUCUCUCACCCCCGGAAGAUGAUUGAAUAAAGAAAGACAGGUACUUAUGUAUGUCAGCAUAAGGUGGAGUCCAACAGAAGCAAGGCACCCUACAUGCGCACAGCAUGCAGCAGGGGUUGCCAAAAUAAUAUAGAAAACAACACAUGCAGUGAGAGAACACCCACUAAAA
Oreochromis aureus is the source of this 728-nucleotide long non-coding RNA. Lineage: Eukaryota; Metazoa; Chordata; Actinopteri; Cichliformes; Cichlidae. The record is from Ensembl.